CAGAUGGGAUAUAACCGCGUCGUUUUGUCCUCAUGGAAGGGCGGAACGAUGAGGCGAAAGUCCGGGCUCCGCCGGAAAAAAUGCCGGAUAAUGACCGGGCAGCAUACGGAAGCUGUACAUUUCCGAAAGGAUUUGUGCAAAGCCCGUAACUGACAGACAGUGCAGCAGAAAAUAUACCGCGGACGGCUUCGCCGUACGCAAGGGUGAAAAGGCGGUGUAAGAGACCACCGUGCAUCUGGUAACAGAUGCAGCCUGUAAACCUCAUUUGGAGCAAGAUCAAGCAGCAGUUGCUUUUCCGGGCUUAUACUGCAGGUAGAUCGCUUGAAACACAGGGUAAUCUGUGUUGCGGAUAGAUGGUUAUGCCGGUGGCAACACCGGUAACAGAACCCGGCUUACAGUCCCAUCUGUUUU
Molecule: RNase P RNA, 411 nt
Filed under: Treponema sp.
Lineage: Bacteria; Pseudomonadati; Spirochaetota; Spirochaetia; Treponematales; Treponemataceae
Description: RNase P RNA component class A
Rfam family: Bacterial RNase P class A
About the family: Ribonuclease P (RNase P) is a ubiquitous endoribonuclease, found in archaea, bacteria and eukarya as well as chloroplasts and mitochondria. Its best characterised activity is the generation of mature 5'-ends of tRNAs by cleaving the 5'-leader elements of precursor-tRNAs.
Source: RNAcentral